GCCGCCUGGCUCAGUCGGUAGAGCGCAAGGCUCUUAACCUUGUGGUCCUGGGUUCAAGUCCCAGGGUGGGCG
RNAcentral lists this transfer RNA (72 nucleotides) under Ipomoea nil (Japanese morning glory). It matches the Rfam family "tRNA". Rfam says of the family: Transfer RNA (tRNA) molecules are approximately 80 nucleotides in length. Lineage: Eukaryota; Viridiplantae; Streptophyta; Magnoliopsida; Solanales; Convolvulaceae. The record is from Rfam by way of RNAcentral.